GACGAACGCUGGCGGCGUGCUUAACACAUGCAAGUCGAACGGAAAGGCCCUGCUUUUGUGGGGUGCUCGAGUGGCGAACGGGUGAGUAACACGUGAGUAACCUGCCCUUGACUUUGGGAUAACUUCAGGAAACUGGGGCUAAUACCGGAUAGGAGCUCCUGCUGCAUGGUGGGGGUUGGAAAGUUUCGGCGGUUGGGGAUGGACUCGCGGCUUAUCAGCUUGUUGGUGGGGUAGUGGCUUACCAAGGCUUUGACGGGUAGCCGGCCUGAGAGGGUGACCGGCAACAUUGGGACGGAGAUACGGCCAGACUCCUACGGGAGGCAGCAGUGGGGAAUAUUGCACAAUGGGCGGAAGCCUGAUGCAGCAACGCCGCGUGCGGGAUGACGGCCUUCGGGUUGUAAACCGCUUUCGCCUGUGACGAAGCGUGAGUGACGGUAAUGGGUAAAGAAGCACCGGCUAACUACGUG
This 467-nucleotide ribosomal RNA is filed under the name uncultured bacterium. Its description in RNAcentral is "partial 16S ribosomal RNA". It matches the Rfam family "Bacterial small subunit ribosomal RNA", at positions 28 to 507 of the family's 1533-position model. The record is from RNAcentral.